This 831-nucleotide ribosomal RNA is filed under the name uncultured Bacillota bacterium. RNAcentral describes it as "bacterial SSU rRNA". It matches the Rfam family "Bacterial small subunit ribosomal RNA", at positions 71 to 909 of the family's 1533-position model. Lineage: Bacteria; Bacillati; Bacillota. The record is from RNAcentral.
AUCUCUUCGGAGUGACGAGCUUUUAACUUAGUGGCGGACGGGUGAGUAACACGUGAGCAACCUGCCUUUCAGAGGCGGAUAACGGCUGGAAACGGUCGCUAAUACCGCAUGACAUAUUGAAUCGGCAUCGGUUUAAUAUCAAAGGAGCAAUCCGCUGAAAGAUGGGCUCGCGUCUGAUUAGAUAGUUGGUGGGGUAACGGCCUACCAAGUCGACGAUCAGUAGCCGGACUGAGAGGUUGAACGGCCACAUUGGGACUGAGAUACGGCCCAGACUCCUACGGGAGGCAGCAGUGGGGAAUAUUGCACAAUGGGGGAAACCCUGAUGCAGCAACGCCGCGUGAAGGAAGACGGUUUUCGGAUUGUAAACUUCUUUUCUUAGUGAAGAAGCAAGUGACGGUAGCUAAUGAAUAAGCAUCGGCUAACUACGUGCCAGCAGCCGCGGUAAAACGUAGGAUGCGAGCGUUAUCCGGAAUUACUGGGUGUAAAGGGAGCGCAGGCGGGACUGCAAGUUGGAUGUGAAAUACCGCAGCUUAACUGCGGAGCUGCAUCCAAAACUGUAGUUCUUGAGUGGAGUAGAGGCAAGCGGAAUUCCGAGUGUAGCGGUGAAAUGCGUAGAUAUUCGGAGGAACACCAGUGGCGAAGGCGGCUUGCUGGGCUCUAACUGACGCUGAGGCUCGAAAGUGUGGGGAGCAAACAGGAUUAGAUACCCUGGUAGUCCACACUGUAAACGAUGAUAGCUAGGUGUGGGGGGUCUGACCCCUUCCGUGCCGGAGUUAACGCAAUAAGCUAUCCACCUGGGGAGUACGGCCGCAAGGGUGCAACUCAAAUGAA